Molecule: transfer RNA, 71 nt
Filed under: Saprospiraceae bacterium
Lineage: Bacteria; Pseudomonadati; Bacteroidota; Saprospiria; Saprospirales; Saprospiraceae
Description: tRNA-Cys
Rfam family: tRNA
About the family: Transfer RNA (tRNA) molecules are approximately 80 nucleotides in length. Their secondary structure includes four short double-helical elements and three loops (D, anti-codon, and T loops). Further hydrogen bonds mediate the characteristic L-shaped molecular structure. tRNAs have two regions of fundamental functional importance: the anti-codon, which is responsible for specific mRNA codon recognition, and the 3' end, to which the tRNAs corresponding amino acid is attached (by aminoacyl-tRNA synthetases). tRNAs cope with the degeneracy of the genetic code in two manners: having more than one tRNA (with a specific anti-codon) for a particular amino acid; and 'wobble' base-pairing, i.e. permitting non-standard base-pairing at the 3rd anti-codon position.
Source: RNAcentral
GGUCGGGUGGCCGAGCGGUCAGGCAGAGGUCUGCAAAACCUUGUACAGCGGUUCGAUUCCGCUUCCGACCU